RNAcentral lists this long non-coding RNA (405 nucleotides) under Lactuca sativa (garden lettuce). RNAcentral's name for it is "long non-coding RNA (LSAT_LNC009083)". Lineage: Eukaryota; Viridiplantae; Streptophyta; Magnoliopsida; Asterales; Asteraceae. The record is from RNAcentral.
AACACAAACUUUGUAAUUUAGUUAACAGUUAUGCCAACUUUACUCUAUUCUUUUGAUUUUUGUUUUUCGAAAACCUUGAAAUCAUUGACCAUCGCCCGACUAUUGAUUUUGGUUUUUAUUGUUUUGGUUUACACUUUUGCACGCCAGGUGUUUGCUGUUUUGCCUCCUCGGCAUGGAUAUUUUCUAGGUUGUGUGCUCUGCUUUGAUAAUAGUUGGGGGUAAAUAAGAAACAUGAUCCACUGAUCAGAUGGUAUAAAGAUUAAAUCUUUUCUUUUUAUUUUUUUGUUUAUUAGACCCUAUAUUCACAACUAAUAACAAAAUCUAAAAUGUACAGUGUAAUAGAAUGCAAGAAAUCCAGAGAACAACGCUGCAAUGAGCAAGCCAUAAAAAUAUUCAUUAGNNNNN